Molecule: long non-coding RNA, 3093 nt
Filed under: Callithrix jacchus (white-tufted-ear marmoset)
Lineage: Eukaryota; Metazoa; Chordata; Mammalia; Primates; Cebidae
Description: lncRNA (ENSCJAG00000079701.1)
Source: RNAcentral
AUGGAUAUAUACUUUCUCCUAACCUCAGACAUCGGCAGUCUUGAUUGUCAGAACUUCAGACUCAGACUAAAUUUCCUGCUUCUGCAGCCGUCAGACAGAUUAUGGGAGUUCUUGGCCUCCAUAAUUAUGUCUCACAUCAGCAGUAUUCUAAGGGGAAGUCAGCAAACUUUUUAAUGACUUUGGAGAUAUCAUCUCAAAGAAGUGAUGUUGUGAGAAGAGCGAUUUCAUGCUGAAUUCCAUUCACUUCUGAGAGGGGCUUAUACCGUUCCUUGCAAUGGCAGGCACUCCAAAAUAGUAGCCGAGAAGGAAAGCAACCGUAGGGAGAUUCCCCUUCCUGCUGUUGAUGAAAGAGUUUUUAGAAUGAAGCUUAUUGAUCUUUGGUAAGUGAAUGUUGCAAUCGUAAAGUCUCCCUCCAUGAUAUUUAACCAAAGUCCAUUCUAAAGGAAGUCCUGCCUAACCCACUAAGCUGACUCUGUUGAACAAAUUGAUGAGGCCUCCCCCAUCUUUUAGAGAUGUAUUCCUGGAAAGGCUUUUUCCCAGGAUGUGAGUUCAUUUCGAGUGAAUCACAUAGUUACCUAUCUCUCAGGGAAGCAGAUCCAUUAGACAAUAAUUUUAGAGGAGGGGAAAUGCCAUGCUCUUAGUUGUCAAAAUGAAUUGCUUGCUAAUAUUUCUGUUUUGAAAACUCUUAAGGUAACUUUUGCUUCUUAAAGUUAGCUGUUACUAAAAGUCAAAAAGUUUAAUAUUGUUAGUUAAUUUUUCUAAAAGCCAUAAAAAAUGUGAUUCAGAAUCAUAUUAUUCCAUAUUUCAGAGAAGCAUCAUGAAUCACUUUGUGGCAUGGUAGUACUUGAAUUUCUGCCCAGGCAUUCCUCUGUAAGACCUCUAUUAGAAUCUUACUACCAGGAAGAGCUGCUGUUGCUGACAGUCUCACAGCUGAUGUGUGAUUUUAGACAAGAUUUCUUAAUUGCUGCAGAUUCGCACAGACUGUGUAGUAGGCACAGUGAUUAGUCUCAGUGAUGAGAGUCACUGGAAUGGUCACACCUCCUGUGCAAGGUAUCUCAUUGAGAUUUUACAUGUUUUUAUUGAAUGCCUAAUAUCUGACAGGCACAGAGCUGAUGCACUUCCACAUGGUUGCAUUUAACUUUCACAACUAUUUUGUGAAGUUUCUAAUAUUGUCUCUAUUUUACAAGCGAUGAAAUUUAAGUAUAGACAAAUUAAGUGUUUUUCCUAAAAUCAUAGAGAUGAAGUAGGAGAGAAAGGUUUAGAUGUCAGAUUUCCUGAUUCUAACUUAGAGCUAUUUUCUAUAGUCUCAGCAUAUGACCUUUUACCAUUCUACAUUGACUUUACAGGAUUUAAUCCCUCAUGCUCAGAUGGUGCCUGGCAAUUCCUGUUUAUUGUCUCUAUUUUCCAAGUAUUUUAUUAUCUAAUUUUAUAAAGACCUGAAGUAUGUAUACUUUUUGGAUAUCUCAUAUUAAAAACAUUAUAUUCUUCUGUUAUUUAAACCAAGGGCCAGCAAAUUACCACAUGCUUUUGUAAAUAAAUCUUUAUUGAAACAUAGCCCCACCCAUUUGUCUAUGUAUUGUCUAUGGCUGCUUUUUUCCUGUGAUGGCAGAGCUGAGAAGCAGCAACACAGAUUUUAUUAGCUUCAAAGUCUAAUAUAUUUAUAAUUGGCCUUUUACAGACUCCUACCAUAGAGAAUUUAGAGUUCUGACUCUGAAUAUGGCCCUUACAUUAAUGUUAAUCCACCUAUGUGGCCUAUUUGCUUUACUGUACUAAAAUGCCCCUAGAUAAUGCUAAGGUAAUUACACAUUUUUAAAUUAUUGUCUAAAAUGUUUGCUCACUCUUGGUUUAAGCCAUGAAAAAUUAUUCACAGAAAUUAUUUGCAUUCGUGCGUGCACAUGCAGCAAUGUUCACAUAUGCACUUAAAAAUGUCAGACAAAUCCUUUCUUGAAAAAGGCUGGGUUUGCAUAUGAAUGUUCUAACUACAUAUAUAUGUUUCUGCCACCUCUCAUACCCCGUCUUUCAUUCCAGUUAUUGCUGCAAUGACAAUUUUUCCAGAAAAAACAUUUAGAAAGCUUGUCUCAGCUGAGCCACAUGUCUCUCUCUUGCUGUCUUAGGCUUUCUCUGAUGCCACAGGAUGGGAUGUCUGGAGACUCCUAUUCCCAUGCAGUACAAACUUGGACAAGCAAGGGAAUUUACAUCCCUUGGUCAAUCCUUAAUUCAUGGGAUGAAACAACAAAACAAAACAGUAGAUAACACCACUUAAUUUUGUCCCCUGCUCUCACAACUCAGAGAUGCAUUCUACAUGGAUCCUUGAUGUAGAAGCCCAGGUGCCUAUAAUGAUGACCAGUUUGAUCAUCCAUCUUCGGACUGGCUUUUUGCUCUUCCCUCUUUACCCUAUCUAAUUUCUCACUCCUAAUCCCCAGAACACUUCCUGAAAUGAACUAAUUAUCCACCUACUCAAACCCACAGAAUAUCGAAAUAUGUACAUAUAUUGCAUAGUAGAUAGACUGAAUUUUGAGUUGGUGAAAGAGAUAUUUACUUCCAGCAAUUUUCCCCUACCAUGGCCACAGCAUCUUUUAUUGUGCAUAUGUGCCCCCAUGAACCUUAUAGGAGCCUUCUGAAUCUUUUUCAAUAGAGCAUGUUUGAAAAUUGCUACUAAAUAUUCAGAGUCACCACUGGAAAUAAAAACUCUCUGUCAUACCCAGUAACUCCAAUACUAUUUAAGCCUAAAUGUAAUACGUGUGGCGAGAGAUAGGGGAGGGUAAGUACUCACAGACAUACACCUAUACUAUGGCAUCACACAACUUUAUUUUAAUGACUUGGUAUUAUUGAAUACAUUCAAAAUAUAAUUUUAUAUUAUAUAAUGAUAUAGUUAGUUAAAACGCUUGUAAUAUUUGAAAACUGGUUAUAUAUAUAUAUAUACAUGCAUACAUAUAUAUGUAUGUAUUGGGUGGCAUUCAACAUCAAAAAACCACAAAACGGAGAAAUUCAAAAUAGAACAAAAAUACUAAUACAAAGCAGUGAUGUAAUUUUUAUCCAGCCUUUGACAUUAGAUUAUUAGAAUGUAUUCUGUUCAAUAUUCAUUGUUAGGUU